UACGUAGGGUGCAAGCGUUGUCCGGAAUUAUUGGGCGUAAAGAGCUCGUAGGCGGUCUGUCGCGUCGGCUGUGAAAACCCGGGGCUCAACCCCGGGCCUGCGGUCGAUACGGGCAGACUAGAGUGUGGUAGGGGAGACUGGAAUUCCUGGUGUAGCGGUGAAAUGCGUAGAUAUCGGAAGGAACACCGGUGGCGAAGGCGGAUGCCUGGCCCAAUACUGACGCUGAGGCACGAAAGCGUGGGUAGCGAACAGG
RNAcentral lists this ribosomal RNA (253 nucleotides) under uncultured bacterium. RNAcentral's name for it is "partial 16S ribosomal RNA". It matches the Rfam family "Bacterial small subunit ribosomal RNA", at positions 524 to 776 of the family's 1533-position model. The record is from RNAcentral.